CGGCCCCUACGGGACGCAGCAGUAGGGAAUCUUCCACAAUGGGCGAAAGCCUGAUGGAGCAACGCCGCGUGGGUGAAGAAGGUCUUCGGAUCGUAAAACCCUGUUGUUAGAGAAGAAAGUGCGUGAGAGUAACUGUUCACGUUUCGACGGUAUCUAACCAGAAAGCCACGGCUAACUACGUGCCAGCAGCCGCGGUAAUACGUAGGUGGCAGGCGUUAUCCGGAUUUAUUGGGCGUAAAGGGAACGCAGGCGGUCUUUUAAGUCUGAUGUGAAAGUCUUUGGCUUAACCGGAGUAGCGCAUUGGA
This 305-nucleotide ribosomal RNA is filed under the name uncultured bacterium. RNAcentral describes it as "bacterial SSU rRNA". It matches the Rfam family "Bacterial small subunit ribosomal RNA", at positions 333 to 630 of the family's 1533-position model. The record is from RNAcentral.